GAAGAAGUUAGAAGAAUCAGCUGGAAAGCCGAGCCAAAGAGAGUGACAGCCUCGUAAUCAAAAACAGAAACCUACACCUUAGAAAGAGUACCACGGAACACGAGAAACUUUGUGGGAACACGGGAGGACCACCUCCCAAGGCUAAAUACUACCUAGUGACCGAUAGCGAAUAGUACCGUGAGGGAAAGGUGAAAAGAACCCCGGGAGGGGAGUGAAAGAGAACCUGAAACCUUAUGCCUACAAGCAGACAAAGUCGAGCACUCAACUUUGCAAAGAUUUGGAGGAGUUAAAUGUUUUACGUAUACGUACUAACCAUGAAAAAUGGAGAGAUUUAUAUAGGAUUUUCAACAAAUCUUAAAAACAGAAUCAAACAGCAUUACGAAAACAAAGUGAUAUCCACAAAAAACAGAGAACCAAAAUUAGUUUACUACGAAGCAUAUAUGUCAAAAAAAGAUGCAAUGGAAAGAGAACAGAAACUAAAGCAAAGAGGAAAUGCAAAAAGAUGGUUAAAAGAAAGAAUAUCCAAUAGCUUAAACCAAGACACAAACAAAGAAUAAGAUUUGUGUGCGAAGUUGAGAGCUCGAUGAUGACGUACUUUUUGUAGAACGGGCCAGCGAGUUACGAUAUGCAGCAAGAUUAAAGAUUUAAGAUCUGAAGUCGUAGAGAAAUCGAGUCUUAAUAGGGCGCAAGUUGCAUGUUGUAGACCCGAAACCAGGUGAUCUAUCCAUGUGCAGAGUGAAGUAGAGGUAAAACUCUAUGGAGGCUCGAACCGGGUAACGUUUAAAAGUUAUCGGAUGACAUGUGGAUAGGGGUGAAAAGCCAAACGAACUUGGAUAUAGCUGGUUCUCCUCGAAAUAGCUUUAGGGCUAGCCUUAUCGUAGUAAUUGAAGGGGGUAGAGCACUGAAUAGUCUAGGGGCAUAUAAUGUUACCGAAACUUAUCAAACUCCAAAUACCAUCAAAUUAGCGAUAGGAGUCAGACUAUGAGGGAUAAGCUUCAUAGUCAAAAGGGAAAGAGCCCAGACCACCAGCUAAGGUCCCAAAAUAUAGAUUAAGUGGAGAAGGAUGUAACACUACUCGGACAACCAGGAUGUUGGCUUAGAAGCAGCCAUACAUUUAAAGAGUGCGUAAUAGCUCACUGGUCAAGUGGUGAUGCGCCGAAGAUAAACGGGGCUAAAAUCUAAUACCGAAGCUGUGGAUGCGUGUAAACGCAUGGUAGAGGAGCAUUGUGUAAGGAGCGAAGACAAGCUGUAAGGCGAAUUGGACCAAACACAAGAGAGAAUGCUGGCAUGAGUAGCGAGAAGGUGAGUGAGAAUCUCACCCGUCGAAAGCCAAAGGUUUCCUGGGGAAGGCUCGUCCACCCAGGGUAAGUCGGGACCUAAGCCCAGGCCGAAAGGCGUAAGCGAUGGACAACAGGUAGAAAUUCCUGUACUAUCUUUAGCGUUAAGAGAGAAGUGUUGACGCAGGAGGAUAUGGGAAGCGUGCGAACGGUAGAGCACGUUCAAGUAAGUAGGAGGUAGAAGUAGGCAAAUCCGCUUUUACAAAACUUCGAGAUACGAUGAGGAGCGAAAAACAAGUAGCGAAGUUCCAGAUUCCACACUGCCAAGAAAAGGCACUAUCCAGCAAAGAGAUACCCGUACCACAAACCGACACAGGUAGGCGAGGAGAGAAUCCUAAGACGCGCGGAAGAACCUUUGUUAAGGAAUUCGGCAAAAUGACCCCGUAACUUAGGGAGAAGGGGUACCGAGAAUUGUAUAUGUAAAACACAAAAAGCAAAACUUGGUCGCAGAGAAUAGGCCCAAGCGACUGUUUACCAAAAACACAAGUAUCUGCUAAAUCGAAAGAUGAAGUAUAGGUGCUGACACCUGCCCGGUGCUGGAAGGUUAAGGGGAAGACUUAACCGGCAUUCAAUUCUAUGCAUAAUGUAAGGAGAAAAAAAUGUAUUACGUUUAUGUAAUAAAAAUUCAAAUUAAAAAGAUAAGAGCAUAUCCAAAAGACUUAAAACAAAGAAUAAAAAGUCAUAAUGGAGGAUUCAACAAAUCAACAAAAAAUCACCAAUGGGAAUUAGUAUAUUACGAAGCAUAUAAAAACGAACAAGAUGCAAGGAAACGAGAAAGAACAUUAAAGAACUCAGGACAAGGAAGAAGAUUCCUCUGGGAAAGAAUAGAAAAAUCUCUGAAAUAACAUUGUGUAAGGAAUUGAGUGCCGGUGAAGGUUAGAACUUAAGCCCCAGUAAACGGCGGCCGUAACUAUAACGGUCCUAAGGUAGCGAAAUUCCUUGUCGGGUAAGUUCCGACCCGCACGAAAGGUGUAACGAUUUGGGCACUGUCUCAACAAAGGAUCCGGUGAAAUUGUAGUAGUCGUGAAGAUGCGACUUACCCACGGUAGGACGGAAAGACCCCGUGGAGCUUUACUGCAAGCUGACAUUGGAUUUUGGUAUUGAAUGUACAGGAUAGGUGGGAGACGAAGAAGUUAGGUCCCAAGACUUAACAGAGUCAAAAGUGGGAUACCACCCUUUCAAUGCUAAAGUUCUAACUUGGCACCUUGAAACAGGUGUGAGGACACUGUCAGUUGGGCAGUUUGACUGGGGCGGUCGCCUCCAAAAGAGUAACGGAGGCGUUCAAAGGUUUCCUCAGAAUGGUUGGAAAUCAUUCAAAGAGUGCAAAGGCAAAAGGAAGCUUAACUGCGACACCCACAAGUGGAGCAGAUACGAAAGUAGGACUUAGUGAUCCGGUGGUACCGAGUGGAAGGGCCAUCGCUCAACGGAUAAAAGCUACCCCGGGGAUAACAGGCUUAUCUCCCCCAAGAGUUCACAUCGACGGGGAGGUUUGGCACCUCGCUGUCGGCUCGUCUCAUUCUGGAGCUGGAGAAGGUUCCAAGGGUUGGGCUGUUCGCCCAUUAAAGAGGCACGCGAGCUGGGUUCAGAACGUCGUGAGACAGUUCGGUCCCUAUCCACCGUGGGCGUAAGAAAUUUGAGAGGAGCUGCUCCUAGUACGAGAGGACCGGAGUGGACAGACCGCUGGUGUAUGAGUUGUACCGCCAGGUGCACAGCUCAGUAGCUAAGUUUGGAAGGAAUAAGUGCUGAAGGCAUCUAAGCACGAAGUCCACCUCAAGAUGAGAUUUCUUUGUAGAAAUACGAGAGAAACCAGGGAGAAAAGCUGGUAGAUAGGUCAGAGGUGUAAGAGUAGUAAUACUUUAAGCUAACUGAUACUAAUAUAUCGAAAGCUUGACCGG
This 3232-nucleotide ribosomal RNA is filed under the name Lagierella massiliensis. Its description in RNAcentral is "bacterial LSU rRNA". It matches the Rfam family "Bacterial large subunit ribosomal RNA", at positions 322 to 2925 of the family's 2925-position model. Lineage: Bacteria; Bacillati; Bacillota; Tissierellia; Tissierellales; Peptoniphilaceae. The record is from RNAcentral.